CCCUCCGUAUAGUGGAGCAUCGUUUCGCCCGUACUACGUGGUGGACUUGCGCAGGUGGCGAUCUUUCGGACAGCUUUUUUCUGUGUUCGGUGAUUUGUGAGACACCCUGUAUGUAAGUAAGUAUAGUAUUUUAAGAUUAGGUUAUGUUAAGCCGCCAUAUCGCACGAGGAAUAUACUAUAUCUGGCGGCGGCCAUUUAUGAUGCACAUUGCCUGGCCAAUACCCGUGAUGAGGUCAACGGGAUUAUUACAGAAUGAGGUUCAACAGGCCGCGGCCGGACCCCUCCUGAAAAACUGGAGGUAUCUCCCGGAUUUGAAGCCGGAUCUUCCAGGGUGGUAUAGUUUUUAAGUGAUAUAUUAAAUAAGUAUUAAGUAUAUCAAAUGAAAUUUACAGAAUCGAUGUAAUAUCAGUUAAAUAUUCUUUUGUAUAUUAAUUUAUAAUUUAUUAAAAUUUAAUAAAUUAUUAAGUAUCCAGUAGCAAAUGAA
Molecule: long non-coding RNA, 484 nt
Filed under: Androctonus crassicauda
Lineage: Eukaryota; Metazoa; Arthropoda; Arachnida; Scorpiones; Buthidae
Source: RNAcentral